RNAcentral lists this ribosomal RNA (484 nucleotides) under uncultured bacterium. RNAcentral's name for it is "partial 16S ribosomal RNA". It matches the Rfam family "Bacterial small subunit ribosomal RNA", at positions 30 to 507 of the family's 1533-position model. The record is from RNAcentral.
AUUGAACGCUGGCGGCAGGCCUAACACAUGCAAGUCGAGCGGAUGAAGGGAGCUUGCUCCUGGAUUCAGCGGCGGACGGGUGAGUAAUGCCUAGGAAUCUGCCUGGUAGUGGGGGAUAACGUCCGGAAACGGGCGCUAAUACCGCAUACGUCCUGAGGGAGAAAGUGGGGGAUCUUCGGACCUCACGCUAUCAGAUGAGCCUAGGUCGGAUUAGCUAGUUGGUGGGGUAAAGGCCUACCAAGGCGACGAUCCGUAACUGGUCUGAGAGGACGAUCAGUCACACUGGAACUGAGACACGGUCCAGACUCCUACGGGAGGCAGCAGUGGGGAAUAUUGGACAAUGGGCGAAAGCCUGAUCCAGCCAUGCCGCGUGUGUGAAGAAGGUCUUCGGAUUGUAAGGCACUUUAAGUUGGGAGGAAGGGCAGUAAGUUAAUACCUUGCUGUUUUGACGUUACCAACAGAAUAAGCACCGGCUAACUUCGUG